GACGAACGCUGGCGGCGUGCUUAACACAUGCAAGUCGAACGCUGAAGCUCAGCUUUUGUUGGGUGGAUGAGUGGCGAACGGGUGAGUAACACGUGAGUAACCUGCCUCCUUCUUUGGGAUAACGCCCGGAAACGGGUGCUAAUACUGGAUAUUCACUGGUCUUCGCAUGGGGGUUGGUGGAAAGGGUUUUUCUGGUGGGGGAUGGGCUCGCGGCCUAUCAGCUUGUUGGUGGGGUGAUGGCCUACCAAGGCUUUGACGGGUAGCCGGCCUGAGAGGGUGAGCGGUCACAUUGGGACUGAGAUACGGCCCAGACUCCUACGGGAGGCAGCAGUGGGGAAUAUUGCACAAUGGGCGCAAGCCUGAUGCAGCGACGCCGCGUGAGGGAUGGAGGCCUUCGGGUUGUGAACCUCUUUCGCUCAUGGUCAAGCCGCAACAAUGGUUGUGGUGAGGGUAGUGGGUAAAGAAGCGCCGGCUAACUACGUG
Molecule: ribosomal RNA, 483 nt
Filed under: uncultured bacterium
Lineage: Bacteria
Description: partial 16S ribosomal RNA
Rfam family: Bacterial small subunit ribosomal RNA
Source: RNAcentral